UACGUAGGUGGCGAGCGUUAUCCGGAAUGAUUGGGCGUAAAGGGUGCGUAGGCGGCCUGCCAAGUCUGGAGUGAAAGGUACCGGCUCAACCGGUACAGGCUCUGGAAACUGGCGGGCUAGAGAGCAGGAGAGGGCGGUGGAACUCCAUGUGUAGCGGUAAAAUGCGUAGAUAUAUGGAAGAACACCAGUGGCGAAGGCGGCCGCCUGGCCUGUUGGUACUGACGCUGAGGCACGAAAGCGUGGGGAGCAAAUAGG
Molecule: ribosomal RNA, 255 nt
Filed under: uncultured bacterium
Lineage: Bacteria
Description: partial 16S ribosomal RNA
Rfam family: Bacterial small subunit ribosomal RNA
Source: RNAcentral